This 67-nucleotide transfer RNA is filed under the name Marmota monax (woodchuck). RNAcentral's name for it is "tRNA.Thr". Lineage: Eukaryota; Metazoa; Chordata; Mammalia; Rodentia; Sciuridae. The record is from RNAcentral.
GCAUAGCUCAAUGGUAGAGCACCUGUCUAGUGUGUGUGAGGCCCUGGGUUCAAUCUCCAGCAAUGCA